Molecule: ribosomal RNA, 492 nt
Filed under: uncultured bacterium
Lineage: Bacteria
Description: bacterial SSU rRNA
Rfam family: Bacterial small subunit ribosomal RNA
Source: RNAcentral
AUUGAACGCUGGCGGCGUGCUUAACACAUGCAAGUCGAUCGGUAACAGGUGUAGCAAUACAUGCUGACGAGAGGCGGACGGGUGAGUAAUGCUUGGGAAUCUGCCUAUUAGUGGGGGACAACCCGGGGAAACUCGGGCUAAUACCGCAUACGCUCUACGGAGGAAAGCCGGGGACCGCAAGGCCUGGCGCUAAUAGAUGAGCCCAAGUCGGAUUAGCUAGUUGGUAGGGUAACGGCCUACCAAGGCGACAAUCCGUAGCUGGUCUGAGAGGACGACCAGCCACACCGGAACUGAGACACGGUCCGGACUCCUACGGGAGGCAGCAGUGGGGAAUAUUGGACAAUGGGGGCAACCCUGAUCCAGCGACGCGCGUGGGUGAAGAAGGCCUGCGGGUUGUAAAGCCCUUUCGGNGGGGAAGAAAAGUCUCGACCUAAUACGUCGGGACCUUGACGUAACCCACUAAAGAAGCACCGGCUAACUCUGUGCCAGCAG